UGCUUAUCGGGAGUCAGACUAUACGAGAUAAGUUGGAUAGUCAAAAGGGAAAGAGCCCAGACCUCCAGCUAAGGUCCCAAAGUACGUGUUAAGUGGAAAAGGAUGUGGGAUUUCAAAGACAACCAGGAUGUUGGCUCAGAAGCAGCCACACAUUCAAAGAGUGCGUAAUAGCUCACUGGUCGAGAGGUCCUGCGCCGAAAAUGUCCGGGGCUGAAGCACGACACCGAAGCUGAGGAAUGUCUAGAGACAUUGGUAGAGGAGCAUUGGAUACGCAACGAAGCAGUACCGUAAGGAGCUGUGGAGUGUAUCGAAGAGAGAAUGCCGGAAUGAGUAGCGAGAGAGAGGUGGGAAUCCUCUCGGCCGAAUAUCUAAGGUUUCCAGGGUAAAGCUGAUCUGCCCUGGGUAAGUCGGGGCCUAAGGCGAGGACGAGAGUCGUAGCCGAUGGACAACAGGUUGAGAUUCCUGUACUGCAGUAAGACAGAACUGUGGGGACACGUGUGGAGAGCAUAGGCGCGGAAUGGAAAGCCGCGUGCAAGCGAGGUAGGAGUCCUGUAGGAAAAACCGCAGGGCAAUCCGAAGGCGUGAUGCGGACCGAAAUCUAGUAGGGAAGUAUGUGAGCCAUGCGUCAAGAAAAGCCGCUAUUGUUCUUAUUGUACCCGUACCGUAAACCGACACAGGUGGAUGAGGAGAGAAUCCUAAGGCCGACGGAAGAAGCAUUGUUAAGGAACUCGGCAAAAUGACCCCGUAACUUCGGGAGAAGGGGUGCCACAGAAAUGUGGCCGCAGAGAAUAGGCUCAAGCAACUGUUUAGCAAAAACACAGGUCUAUGCAAAACCGAAAGGUGAGGUAUAUGGGCUGACGCCUGCCCGGUGCUGGAAGGUUAAGAGGAGAGGUUAGCGCAAGCGAAGCUUUGAAUUGAAGCCCCAGUAAACGGCGGCCGUAACUAUAACGGUCCUAAGGUAGCGAAAUUCCUUGUCGGGUAAGUUCCGACCCGCACGAAAGGCGUAAUGAUUUGAGCGCUGUCUCGACAAUGCAUCCGGUGAAAUUGAAGUACCAGUGAAGAUGCUGGUUACCUGCGCCAGGACGGAAAGACCCCAUGGAGCUUUACUCCAGCUUGAUACUGGGAUUCGGUAUUGCAUGUACAGGAUAGGUGGGAGGCUGAGAAUCGGUAACGCCAGUUGCCGAGGAGCCGUUGUUGGGAUACCACCCUUGCAGUACUGGGUUUCUAACCAGCAGCCGUGACCCGGCUGGGGGACAAUGUCAGGUGGGGAGUUUGACUGGGGCGGUCGCCUCCGAAAGGGUAUCGGAGGCGCUCAAAGGUUCCCUCAGAAUGGUUGGAAACCAUUCGAAGAGUGCAAAGGCAGAAGGGAGCUUGACUGCGACACCGACGGGUGGAGCAGGUACGAAAGUAGGACUUAGUGAUCCGGUGGUAUUAAGUGGGAAUGCCAUCGCUCAACGGAUAAAAGCUACCCUGGGGAUAACAGGCUUAUCACUCCCAAGAGUUCACAUCGACGGAGUGGUUUGGCACCUCGAUGUCGGCUCAUCGCAUCCUGGGGCUGUAGUAGGUCCCAAGGGUUGGGCUGUUCGCCCAUUAAAGCGGUACGCGAGCUGGGUUCAGA
This 1618-nucleotide ribosomal RNA is filed under the name human gut metagenome. RNAcentral describes it as "bacterial LSU rRNA". It matches the Rfam family "Bacterial large subunit ribosomal RNA", at positions 971 to 2615 of the family's 2925-position model. The record is from RNAcentral.